CCAUAAUAGCUAUCAUACCUUUAUGUGGUUUUUCAAUUAAGUCACAGAUUAUCUGAAUAAAAAGAUAUGAUUACGAUAUGGUUUGACGGAUUUUCAUAAUAAAUGUAAAGGGAACCUAACAUCAUGUAGAAUUCUAUAACUUAGUCAUAACUUCUUCUUACUAUUCAGAUUUUACAGAUUAAAAAUUAGGGACACCGAUUCACAACUACACCUAUUUCUCAUGUAAUACAAUUUUGAAUUCCUGCGGAUUCGUUAACUCUACAAUAUAUAAAUCAAGAACCAAUGGAAAACUGUGCACCAUUAUUAUAUUGGAUGUGUGGCAUGAAGGUCUGAGUUUAUAUGGAUACUUUUUUACCGAUAGGUAAUAUAAGUAAAUCUCUCAGAUAUUUUAUAGAAAUUCGAAGCGAAUAUUUUUCUUCUAAUAAUGUGUCCCUGUGCCAAAAACUGGUAAAAUCGGGUAAUUACUUCCCCCAAUUCCCUUAUACCUAAUAUAAAGAUGUUCAAACUUCCGGUGGGCUUGGUGGAGAAAAUAAGUGAAAUGAUUAUUCUAUAUAUAAUGAUUGUCGGUAAUCUUUAUGCCGAAUAUAUGGGUCAAAUUAUGUGUUAUCUUAAUGAAAUUAAAUAAAGAAAUAGCGAGAGUAUAAAAUUUUCUGUUACACCCCAUCAUAGCCCUUUAUUGCUGUUUUAAUUUACAAUUUGCAGUACAAAAAAUAUAUUAGUUUAUAGAAUAUCCAUAAAGAUUUUUUUGACAUCGAUAUCGUUGUGAAAAUAAUAUAUAUAUGUAUAUGUAAUGCAUGUAAUAUUUUAUUCUUUUCGGAUUGGUUCAUUGAGUGAAUAUCAACCAAGGAUGGUUGGUAUAAUCGAGACAAUCGCUCGGACUUCCAAAAAUGUUGGAGCAUAUUUUUGGUAAUAAAAAGCUUCUCUUACCAACAGACAGCCUUUAUAAAGGUGCUAAAUAUUGCAUAUAUUAGUAUAUACAAGCAUAUGCUUACAUAUAUGUAUAAAUCAGAGAAUACAAACAAUUUAUGAGAAAUAUUUAAUAUAUUUUUUACCUUGUUAUUAAAGUAUUCAAUGUUGGUCCAUUCUACACCUUCUCUUUGGUAUUCUUCCUGCUCCUGUUUAAGAACCAGUUCUGUUGAAUACAUACAUUUAAGUAAAAUCAAAGGAUAUAUUACGUAAGCUGACUUCGAUAGCACAUUUCGCUGCUCAUUUAAUUAAAAAAAAAUCAAUGUUUUUUUGCUUAAUUUAAAAGUUUAUAUUCUUCAGAUGUCUUCGAAAACAAUGUCUCAAUAAUAACUCAAAAACUAUUCAACCGAAUGGCUUGAAAAUUAAAUUCAUCUUCCUAGAUUUUCCACAGAGUGACACAAAAUUGAAAUGCCAAUCAUGUCGACCAUCAAGGAGUGCUCCGGAAAAAUUGAUCAAGGCCAAUGCUUAUAUCUCUGGUAUUUUUAAUUAAAAUUAUUAUUUUUUAUUAUUAUUAAGCUUAUGAUAUGUAUUAAAUUAGCUAUAAAUUUAAAGAAGACCUACCUCAAACCAUCCAAUUUUCAUUCGUUCAGGUUGGCGUAACCCCUUAAUACAAAUAAUUUUGUAAUUUUGAAGUAAAUUAUAAUUAAUUAAAGAAAAUAAGGCAUGGACGCCGCUCGAAACUAAGAGGUAAAAAAUUGUACUCCGCACUCCGCUUUAAGUGCAUCUACAUUUUUUUUAAUUGGCUUUUCUCCACCGCUUUGCGAAUCGAAGACAGCAAUAGUUAAAAAAGUCUAAUUUUUUAUACUUACCAAUAAAUAACUGUUGCAAUUUUUCAUUGCAAUAAUUUAUGCAAAACUGCUCAAAACUAUUGUUGUCAAAAAUUUCGAAUCCGUAAAUGUCUAAAACGCCAAUCACUGAAUUGAAACGCGCUUGAGUUUUCGAACCACGAAAUAGGAUUGCUCGAUUUAUACGAGAAAUAAUCCAAGUGAAUAAACGAUCGUAUAUUGCUUUAGCCAAAGCAUCCUUUCCAUAUUCAGCUUGUGUGACAUCGUGUUCUUUUUGCAUAACAUUACCACCAGCGGCAAUAAUUCGCAUUGUUAACGAAUUAGAUAGUUCAUUUUCUGUUACUUGCAAUAAUUUCGAUGCAGAUUCCAAAUGCUGUUUAUUACUUA
Zeugodacus cucurbitae (melon fly) is the source of this 2138-nucleotide long non-coding RNA. RefSeq lists it as uncharacterized. NCBI's taxonomy places the organism in Eukaryota, Metazoa, Arthropoda, Insecta, Diptera, Tephritidae. The transcript has 2 exons. The record is from RefSeq and is a predicted model, not a curated record.